UUCGCUAGCCUGCGAGUCGAGAGGGUUCGGCCCUCGGCUGACGACUCAGUAACACGUGGAUAAUCUGCCCUUAGGUGGAGGAUAAUCUCGGGAAACUGAGGAUAAUACUCCAUAGAUCUAGAAUGCUGGAAUGCAUCUAGAUUGAAAGCUCCGGCGCCUAAGGAUGAGUCUGCGGACUAUCAGGUUGUAGUCAGGGUAAAGACCUGACUAGCCUACGACGGAUACGGGUUGUGAGAGCAAUAACCCGGAGACGAUAUCUGAGACACGAUAUCGGGCCCUACGGGGCGCAGCAGGCGCGAAAACUUCGCACUGUGCGAAAGCGCGAUGAGGGAAUCCCAAGUGUUUGCUCGUAAGAGUAAACUGUUUCUUUGUUUAAAACGCAGAGAGAGUAAGGGCUGGGUAAGACGGGUGCCAGCCGCCGCGGUAAUACCUGCAGCUCAAGUGGUGAUCAUUAUUAUUGGGCCUAAAACGUCCGUAGCCGGUUUAAGUAAAUGCCUGGGUAAAUCGUAUAGCUUAACUAUUACGACUUCCGGGUAGACUGCUAAACUUGAGACCGGGUGAGGCUAGAGGUACUCCUGGGGUAGAAGGUGAAAUUCUGGAAUCCUAGGGGGGACCACCAGUGGGCNAANGCNUCUAGCUUAGGAACCGGGUCUUGACCGGUGAAGGGACCAAGCCUUGGG
Molecule: ribosomal RNA, 680 nt
Filed under: uncultured archaeon
Lineage: Archaea
Description: bacterial SSU rRNA
Rfam family: Archaeal small subunit ribosomal RNA
Source: RNAcentral